Molecule: long non-coding RNA, 3241 nt
Organism: Coturnix japonica (Japanese quail)
Lineage: Eukaryota; Metazoa; Chordata; Aves; Galliformes; Phasianidae
Source: Ensembl
AGCUGGGGACCGCGCACCCCGCGUCGGGCCGAGCGCGGGGCGCUGCGCUGCCAGGAGGAGGGAGCGCUUUUACUUUUAUCUGGGAGACAUGAGGCGCGCUUCCUGCCGGCGGCUCCAGAGACGGGGGGCAGAGGAACGAGCCGGCGCCGUGCCCAUGGGGCGGCCGCGCUACACGGGCGCGCACAUCGCCGCGCACGCAGCGCGGGACGGCCGCGGUGUCACCUGCUCCCGGCAGCGCCGAGCCCCACGCCCGCAGGAGGGCCCUCCCGGGGCCGGGCCGGGCGGAGCGGUGGGGCCGGGCGGCGGCGGGGCUUCCCGGCGCUCCGCAGCCCCUGUGCCAUGCGGCGUCCCGAGGAGCCGCGCCGUUUAGAGCAGGGGCCGCGGCGGAGGAACACACCCCCCGGCGCCUCACCCCUCCUCAAACUUGCUGACAUUUGAACUCCAUUGGUGCGCGCGGUAUCGCUGCGCCGCGGUGAUCCGUCUCCUCGACGUCAAAUAGUGCCCUGGCCCCGGUGGGCCCCCGCAGCCCCCGAAGCGCGGCGGCACCCGGGGCGCGGGGCGGGCGAGCUUCGUGCACCCCGGGGCGGCCCGGCCCGCCUCGCCUCUGCUCCGGCCGCGGGGCGCAGACCGGGUGCGGAGCCGGAGUGGGGCCCCGGGCUGGGGACCGGGGACCGGGAGGAGAGAGCGCGGCAGCCGAGGAGGGCGGCGGAGCGGCGUCCGCAGCCCCGAGCCUCAGCUCCGCCGCGUCCGGCCGGGCGGCAGCCGAGAGCCGGCGACGCGGCCCGACGGCGGCUCCUGGCUCCUGCCCAGCGACAAAAUGAAGAAAAGUUGUAUGACAUCAACAUUUUGUUGGGAAAUCUUUCAUUGCCAAUGAAGUCACUGCUCACUGAAGCAAUCACUGUAAUUUUAAACUGUUCCUGGAUUCAGCACCUGAGGAUGGCUGUGAGGACAUUAGGACCCUUCUGGAGGGGAUGGUAUUAUUGUUUGCCGCAUGCACGGUCUGGCUCCUGCCUCAGAACCCAGCAAAGAGAUGGGCUGAAGCUGCCUGGGUUUAAAUAACUGGGAAAGGGAUGGGAAGGGGCGGGAGACAAGAGGUCAAAACGUGGUAAAGGUGCAGAGGAAUUUUCAGGGAAACAUUUUGUUACUUUUUAUCAGGUGAAAGACAAACUAAGCAGUUGCUAUUAGUGAUCAAAUAGAGCUUUCAGUGCUCUGAGAUACACAGCUGAAGACAUCAUCUGCCCACCAGCAAGAAUGUACACUCCUAAAAUAGAAUUACCUUAGAAAAACUCAAAUUUUAAUUUCAAUUACAGUUGUUCUAUGAAAGACAGAUGUGAACUGUUAUAGUGUUUAGAACGUGAUUUAACAGAGAAAAAACAAAUAUUAAUGAAAUGUGUUUCACUGAUGGGAUUUGAUUGGCAUGCUGUAUUAAUUACAGGCCUUUCACCUCUGAAACUGCUGCUCUAAUCCUGUUGGUGCUCAGGGAAAACAAUUUAAGAGUUAUUUAUAUAUUCUAAAAUGAUACAGGCAUCUUUAAGAAAAAAGAGGGCUGCAUUACAGCAUUGGUUUCACUAUAGUGAAAUACUCACAAAGGAGCUUCUGCCAACAUACACACUGCAGGCACCAUUCUACAAUCCCAGUAUACCUUGAAUAUCUACAGAGUUUUCUGCGUGCAAAUAAUGGCAGUUGGACCUUUAACGUGGAGUGAAAAUUGAAAUGGCAAUCCAGCGCCUGCAGCAAUGCCUGGCUGAGACCUGCAGAUGGGCUUCUUUUUACCAGCAGGUGGAGACAAGAAUGCUGACCAGAGUGCUUAAAAUCAGUGAAAGGAAAUCCAUUUCCCCACCGCUAAAGAAGCUUGUUAAAAAUCCACCAUGUAUCUUUUAACACCAUCACAAGAGCAGUUUAGAGAUCUUAAACUGCUCUCUAUUUUUAUUCCUAGCUGCUAAAGCAGAGGGUACCAUCUGGUGACAUUUGUCUGCUUUCCUUUGCUGCCAGAAGUACCUUCUUAACCUCUGGAGUAAAACAUUACUUCAGGGUGUGCACAGAGACAGAGAAAAGCCCAGUUUCUCUGCUGAACAACCCGUAUGGAAUUAAUGCAGCACAAAAGAGAAGGAAAGGUGUAUGUUUGGUGGCCCUGCUAGGCAGGGGGGUUGGAACUACAUGAUCCUUGAGGUCCCUUCCAACCCGGGUCAUUCUGUGAUUCUGUGAAAGGACACCUCUGGCCACAGAGCCAGCACAAACAUUGGCACUUGCAUUCAUGGAUGGCCUGGUGCCCGAGUCAGAUCCCUCCUGGCCAUACAGGAAUGCUCUGCCUCCCCCUGGCCUGGGAUGCCCUGUGUCUGUGUGCACUCACAAGCACGGGCAGGGCAGCUCUCUCCUGUUUGCACCUUGAAAGAACGCACGGCUCUGCUGUGCUCUGCAGAGAAUCUGCAUGUUGAGGUGCAUCUUAGGUGAACCAAAGUCCUUUAUCCCAUAAACAUUCACCAAGACUGCACUACUGCCCAGUGAGGAAAAUGGGGCAGAAACAGCACAAACCCAGCAGUGACCACCCUCCCCUCCCCAGGCCAAAAUUCAGCCCUUUCCCUGGUGCUGCUGUGGAUCACCUCUCAUGUCAGGGAGAUCCGCAGAGAGAGCGGUGGCUGCUGAGUAGAGCCACUGCUGAGAGAGGCCUGGGACAUGGAUCCACCAGCACCACCCACAGCCCCUUUGCUGAACAAACAUCUGUUUACAGAUGACAAGGAUGUGCUUGCCCCUGUUGCAGAAACACUUGUUUAAAGCCCUAUAAUGUAAUGUGUUACUUAGCCUCUGUGUCAAAAUAGAAGUGCGAUGAGCAAAACCACAGUAGGAUAAUAUUUUGAAUCAUAAAACCAAUGUUAGUCCCUCCCGCAUGUCCAAUGGCAGGGCAUUUUAUAGGAUUUGGAUGCAGCUCCUCUAGCCCAUUAAAGUUUAUUGUCCUUGAAAAAAAUGGAUGCGUUGCUGAUGAUAGAGACUUGGUGUUAUACUGUCAAUGCACAUUUUAUUUGAUCAGUCUUAAAUACAAUUCAGACCUUCAGACUCCACACAGAGCUGGACUUUAGCCUUUUCCUGUAAUUAUUUGAUGUCUCGUUAACUUUUUAUGAGUAUGUCUGUUUAAAUAAGCUUAUUUGAUAUGCUUUUAUUUUGGCUGUUGCCUGCUGUAUAGGAUGGAUGUACUUUUCUCUUUGUCUUUAAAAGAUACAAAUAAAAAUCAAAGAAAAGCUAAACA